GCAACAGCUCAAAUUUGAAAUCUGGCCCCCCCCCCGGGGGGCCCGAGUUGUAAUUUGCAGAGGAUGCUUUGGGCGAGGCGCCUUCCGAGUUCCCUGGAACGGGACGCCGCAGAGGGUGAGAGCCCCGUCUGGUCGGACGCCAGGCCUAGUGUAAAGCUCCUUCGACGAGUCGAGUAGUUUGGGAAUGCUGCUCUAAAUGGGAGGUAUAUGUCUUCUAAAGCUAAAUACCGGCCAGAGACCGAUAGCGCACAAGUAGAGUGAUCGAAAGAUGAAAAGCACUUUGAAAAGAGGGUUAAAUAGUACGUGAAAUUGUUGAAAGGGAAGCGCUCACGACCAGACUUGGGCCUGGCGGAUCAUCCGGCGUUCUCGCCGGUGCACUCCGACGGGCUCCAGGCCAGCAUCAGUUCGCGCCGGGGGACAAAGGCUCGGGGAAUGUAGCUCCCCCGGGAGUGUUAUAGCCCCCUGCGCAAUGCCCUGGGGCGGACUGAGGUUCGCGCGUCCCGCAAGGAUGCUGGCGUAAUGGUCGUCAGCGACCCGUCUUGAAACACGGACCAAGGAGUCGUCUUCGUAUGCGAGUGUUCGGGUGUGAAACCCCUACGCGUAAUGAAAGUGAACGCAGGUGAGAGCUUCGGCGCAUCAUCGACCGAUCCUGAUGUUCUCGGACGGAUUUGAGUAGGAGCAUACGGGGCCGGACCCGAAAGAAGGUGAACUAUGCCUGUAUAGGGUGAAGCCAGAGGAAACUCUGGUGGAGGCUCGCAGCGGUUCUGACGUGCAAAUCGAUCGUCA
RNAcentral lists this ribosomal RNA (786 nucleotides) under Balansia sp. DCG-2018a. RNAcentral describes it as "partial large subunit ribosomal RNA". It matches the Rfam family "Eukaryotic large subunit ribosomal RNA", at positions 101 to 907 of the family's 3401-position model. Lineage: Eukaryota; Fungi; Ascomycota; Sordariomycetes; Hypocreales; Clavicipitaceae. The record is from RNAcentral.